GAGGGUGCUGGGCGGAGCCCCCGAACAGGGCCGGCGAGCUGAGUUUGCAGCCGGGCUGCAGGAGGGCCUGUGGGCCGGGCUCGCUCCCGGGCCCCACUUAAGGUGGGCUGGGCUCAGGGGCGGCCUGACCCCCCCUGGGUGGUGCCUGUCCCCCGGCCAGCGUGGGGGGCCUUGGGCGCUUGAGGGGGAGCAGCUGCCUGGGGGGCAGGGGGUUGUGGCAGCACCCCCACGGGCCACCUUAAGCGGCUGUGUUGAGGCUGCCAGGCAGCACAUGGGGCUGUUAAAGCAGCCAGCCCGGCCCUGGGGAAGGGGAGCCCAGCUCAACAGGGUGCAGGGAGGGGGCUCAGGGCGGGGGGGGUGUAGGAGGGGUUUGGGCUCUGGCCCGGGGCCGCUUACCCGCAGGCACACUCCCUGCCUGCCAGUGCCCCAUGCCGCACCGCUCACCCCGUCCCCGUGCAGCCCCAGGGGAGGAGAGGGGCGGUGCAGCACAGGGGUCUGCACCCUGCCCUUGCCACACCUCCAGGUACCUCCCCUGAAGCUCCCAUUGGCCACGGUUCUCUGUUCCUGGCCAAUGGGAGCUUUGGGAGGCGGUGCCUGGAGCAACCCCCUGGCCCCAGAGACAUGGUACCCUGUUGGCUGCUUCUGAAAGCAGCACGGGGCCUGCCGCACCGGGGGGGGCAAAUCCCACGGACCAGAUCCAAAGCCCUGAGGGGCCAGAUCCGGAUCUGACCCAUGGGUAUUAGGGUGUGCCCGGGCACACCCCGUGCGCACGCCUAUGAUGCGGAGUCUCUCCACCCGAGCCCAGGUCUCGCCGCUCAGCCCCUGCUAGUGCAGCCGGGACGCACCUGGCAGGUCAGCCCCGCGAGCUGUGCCACCACUGCCUGCUGCUUGUGGGCUCUGGUGGGGACUUAAUUCUGGGAUUUCUAGUGGCAGCGAGAGCAGCACUGGGUCGCCCCUCUGCCUGCUCCCUUCUUCCCUGGGGGUCCUUAAUAUAAACGUGUCUGUGGUGAAAUCUCUGUGCUAUGCUUCAGGCGUGCUCAGGUGGGAGAGGCAAAUCCCUCUCCACAGCCGCGAAGAGGAAAUUAUUGGUUCAGCCAUGAAGCAGCCUAGGGAAACCCAACCAAGUAACCACAUCCUUUGCAUUAAGGAGAAAACAAUUGAGAAUCGCUGCUCUGUGGUAUAGCAUCAAAGAUACUAGAGUAACUCAGCCAAGGGUCAGGAUUUUGGCUAGUGGAGUGCUACUGACAUUGACAUAUCGAGACAAGGAUCAGAGCUGUGAAAAGAGAAAGGAACUUAGAGUCAGAUUGUUAACAAAGCAAAUAUGAAGCAAAAUUUUAAAUACCUAUUUAACUCGUAUUCUGAAGUAACUCAUGGGGGAAAGGAUUCAAUAUCAAUAUGCUUUCAAUUAAGAUCUGAUUGCUCAUAAUAUACAUCUCCUUUGACAACAGCAAGAAAACCAGGAAAGAUCAAUCUUGCCUUUCUGAGUUUUUUUUUUUUUUUUUUUUUUUAAAAAGGAGGAACAUACCCAACUACAUACAUCCAAAGAAGUGGGUAUUCACCCAUGAAAGCUCAUGCUCCUAUACAUCUGUUAGUCUAUAAGGUGCCACAGGACUCUUUGCUGCUUUUACAGAUCCAGAGCAACACGGCUACCCCUUUGAUACUUGAUACUCAACUUUAAAAUCCCUUAUAGGUUUUCUUUCACUUGAGUAGAAACCUUACUAUUGCUAUUUUUUGCACUUUUUUUUUGGUCCAUCUGCUAUUAAAGUCAGUGAGAAUUUUGCCAUUUAUCACAUACAGUGGGGUCAAGAUUGAUCCCUCUGUCUUCCCACUUGAUUUCAACAGAGAGACAAGGUGCGUGAGGUAAUUGGACCAGAAGUUGGUCCAGUAAAAUAUAUUAUCUCACCUACCUUGUUGUUCUAGUAUCCUGGGACCAACAAGGCUACAACAAUACUGCAAACAACAUUGAUUUUAAUGGAAGUUAGGAGCCUAAAUAUCUUUGAGGAUCUGUGUUUUAAAGCCAUCCAGGCUAUCAAGCUGUUCUGCAGUAGCUCAAGAGCAUGGAUUCCAACCUCAGGGCAGACUUAAGCAACAGGACACAGACCCCAAACUGGUUGUGAGUUCUAUACUUAGACUUCACCAACAAAUUAUCAAGUGUAAACUCUUUAAGUACUAUAACAGCCUUAAUAUGGAGUCAUGGAUAGUUUCCCCUUGGGUACUCUGAUCUAUUUUGCCACCCAGGUAAGUUUGUCUUUGUCAUAGAUGGUCCCUUUCACCAAAAAAA
Molecule: long non-coding RNA, 2281 nt
Organism: Trachemys scripta elegans
Lineage: Eukaryota; Metazoa; Chordata; Testudines; Emydidae
Exons: 2
Source: RefSeq, a predicted model, not a curated record